AUUGAACGCUGGCGGCAUGCUUUACACAUGCAAGUCGAACGGUAACAGGCCUUCGGGUGCUGACGAGUGGCGCACGGGUGAGUAAUGCAUCGGAACGUACCCAGAGGUGGGGGAUAACGCAGCGAAAGCUGUGCUAAUACCGCAUGUGAUCUGAGGAUGAAAGCGGGGGACCGAGCAGCAAUGUUUGGCCUCGCGCCUUUGGAGCGGCCGAUGUCGGAUUAGCUAGUUGGUGGGGUAAAGGCCUACCAAGGCGACGAUCCGUAGCUGGUCUGAGAGGACGACCAGCCACACUGGGGCUGAGACACGGCCCAGACUCCUACGGGAGGCAGCAGUGGGGAAUUUUGGACAAUGGGCGCAAGCCUGAUCCAGCAAUGCCGCGUGCGGGAAGAAGGCCUUCGGGUUGUAAACCGCUUUUGGCAGGAACGAAACGGUGUCCGCUAAUACCGGGCGCUAAUGACGGUACCUGCAGAAUAAGCACCGGCUAACUACGUG
Molecule: ribosomal RNA, 492 nt
Filed under: uncultured bacterium
Lineage: Bacteria
Description: partial 16S ribosomal RNA
Rfam family: Bacterial small subunit ribosomal RNA
Source: RNAcentral